GCGCGGGGCGGCGGGACAGGCGGUUCCGCGCAGCUCCUGGGAUGCCCGGGCAGCUGCGGGUGCGCUCGCCCCAACCCUCCUUCAUAAACGCAGGGCCUGGGGCUGCCCAGACCCCACAGGGCGGCCCAAGGGUGCACAGGGGCCCCAGGUGUGUCUUCACACAGCCCCCCGCUGUGUCUUCAGCAAGAACCUGCAUUCCACAGCCAGACCGGCCACUUACCAGAACUCGGGGGCGCCCAGGCCUUGCGUGGUGCGCUGGAAGGCCAAAUUCCCACCAGACCAGUGUGUGCCAUGAUGCCCACUGGCCCUCCGGCCACCCCACCCCCCAACCAGCCUGUCCUAAGAGCCGACAACCUUUCUCCACAAAGCUAUUCAAAGGGCAGAAGAGCAGUGUCACUGCCUGGAUGUACAAAUCCAGAACAGACACCAGUGCCAGGUGCU
This 441-nucleotide non-coding RNA is filed under the name Pongo abelii (Sumatran orangutan). Lineage: Eukaryota; Metazoa; Chordata; Mammalia; Primates; Hominidae. The record is from RNAcentral.